GAUGAACGCUAGCUACAGGCUUAACACAUGCAAGUCGAGGGGAAACGGCAUCGAAAGCUUGCUUUUGAUGGGCGUCGACCGGCGCACGGGUGAGUAACGCGUAUCCAACCUGCCCAUCACUUGGGAAUAACCUUGCGAAAGUAAGACUAAUGCCCAAUGACAUCCCACGAAGGCAUCCGAAGGGGAUUAAAGAUUUAUCGGUGAUGGAUGGGGAUGCGUCUGAUUAGCUUGUUGGCGGGGUGACGGCCCACCAAGGCAACGAUCAGUAGGGGUUCUGAGAGGAAGGUCCCCCACAUUGGAACUGAGACACGGUCCAAACUCCUACGGGAGGCAGCAGUGAGGAAUAUUGGUCAAUGGGCGAGAGCCUGAACCAGCCAAGUAGCGUGCAGGAUGACGGCCCUAUGGGUUGUAAACUGCUUUUAUAAGGGAAUAAAGUGGGUCACGUGUGACUUUUUGCAUGUACCUUAUGAAUAAGGACCGGCUAAUUCCGUG
RNAcentral lists this ribosomal RNA (492 nucleotides) under uncultured bacterium. RNAcentral describes it as "partial 16S ribosomal RNA". It matches the Rfam family "Bacterial small subunit ribosomal RNA", at positions 28 to 507 of the family's 1533-position model. The record is from RNAcentral.